GGCGGGCGGCGGGCGCCCGGGGAGUGCGCGCGCGGGGUCACCGAGCCCCCGCCAACGCGCCUCGCUCCUUGGCACUCGGCAGCGCUGUUUACGAGAUCGGCUUUUUUUUUUUUUUUUUUUUUGUCUUUUGGUUCCAGGGCAGAGCUGCUCAGAUUUAACAACUGGGAGAGACUGGAAGAGGGAGGUGGCAAACAGGAGAGCUCACUGUGGGGUAGGGUGGGGCAAGUAUGAACAGUGUAGCAUUUAAAGGGCCGAGAAACAUGAACGAUUGCCUUGCACCAAAUCCUCGUGAAUUCGUCACCUUCCUUUCAGGGCCCAAUAGGAUGGGGACUUGGGGUAUGUUGGGAGGGGUGCUGGGAUGGAGAUAAUCUCCCAGGAAGGGUUUUUUGUGGGUCCCGAGGUGGGGACCUCCUCUGUUUCAGGCGGCUUGGGGAAGCCCCUGGGACUUGAAUGGCAGUAUAUUUUUGCAUUUCAGUUUGGACCAACAAUUGUGGCCUCCAGGGUCUGGGUGGGCUUCAGGCCUGCUCCACACACUUUUAGAAAGUAGUUUAGACCUGUGUGUCCCAACCAGGGAAGAAAAAGGUCCUUUGAGGGGAAGGCCACUGGGUGUGUUUGUAUUUGGCGGCUUUGGUGUCCUGGUGCUGCGUUGGCAGGCGGUGGGUGUUUGUCUGGUGGCAGAGCUGCUCACUUGCAGCUGUGAAGGGAGUGCUGCGUGUUGUGUGUCGGGUUUAUGACUUGUGCAUCCACCUCCGUGUGGCUGGAGCGAGUAUGCCUCUGUGCCCGUUUGGGUGUUCUGUGCCAGGGUCCCCUUGGGGUAUAGGAGCCCAGUGGUAACGUGCCUGCUUUUGUGCCCUGCAUGUUGACAACAUGUGAGAGUGUCUCCAAGGAGGUGUGUGUCAGAUUGUGAGUCCAGGCUUCGCAGCCCUGGGCCUCGCAGCUGGGAGUGUUUACAGCCGGUUAUAAAGAGUUUGUUUGAAGCUCCGCUCAGCCUGGCCAGGAAUUUCCUCAAUUUCAGCAAUUUGGGCUUUAAAAGGAGAAAAACCCAGAGCCCACCCCCCUCCUCCCCAGCAGGGGCCCCUGCUUAGCCCAGGAGCGGCAUCCCCCGUGGUGGGCUCUCUGCCCAGGGCUGAGAAGGGAAUCUGAGUGGAGUUGACCCGAUUAGCCUUCCUGCGCCCUUGGCCCCCAGACUGACCCAGACUGGGCUGCACUUUAGGGUUCGGGGGUGGGAGUGUGCCAGAGGGGUGCUGAGAAGGGGUGACAGUACCAUGUAGAUGAGAAAAGCUGCCCCUGGGGGGCCUCUCUCCCUGCCACUGCCGCUGCCCCCAGUCUCCUAAUUGGCUGGCACUGGCCCAUGCCAGUCUGACCGCACCCAGGUCCUUUCGCAAGAGAGGAAGUGAGGCAGCGCUCUGCGGGCAGGGAGGGCGUCAGCGCCAAGUGAGCACCACCCCACGCAAUGGCCUGUGGGCAGCUCAGUGCCCUCGGCACCAUCCUGAAAAGAUUCCAGCACCCCACCCCCCACCCCCCAGCUCUCAGCACCAGGCCCCCUGGGACCUCCCACCCGGUCCUGAAUAGACUCUGGGCACCCUUCUUACGUUCCCUCCUCUCUCUCCCUUUUCAUGGGGGAAUCUCACUCCAGCUGGAUUCUUAUGCUAAUCGAGUGUCUGGUGUGUUGGGGGGCGGGGAGGGCUUCCCUCCUGUGGGGAGGGUGGAGCUAGCCCGGAACCCCAGCAUCCCGGGCAUUCCUUCUGUCCUGCUGGAGGCCGGGGUGGACUUCUGACCAGGUGGGCUGCAGCGGGCUAGAAGGAGGAAGGUGUUCCUGAGCGGUGGAGACGCAGAGCACUAGCUCAGAGGAGAUGGUGCCCAGCUCGCCCUCGCCCCCUCCACCUCCCCGGGUCUACAAGCCGUGCUUCGUGUGCAAUGACAAGUCCUCUGGCUACCACUACGGGGUCAGCUCUUGUGAAGGCUGCAAGGGCUUCUUCCGCCGCAGCAUCCAGAAGAACAUGGUGUAUACAUGUCACCGCGACAAAAACUGUAUCAUCAACAAGGUGACCCGGAAUCGUUGCCAGUACUGCCGGCUACAGAAGUGCUUUGAAGUUGGCAUGUCCAAGGAAGCUGUGCGGAAUGAUCGGAACAAGAAGAAGAAAGAGGUGAAGGAAGAAGGGUCGCUUGACAGCUAUGAACUGAGCCCCCAGUUAGAAGAGCUCAUCACCAAGGUCAGCAAAGCCCAUCAAGAGACGUUCCCCUCGCUCUGCCAGCUGGGCAAAUACACCACGAACUCCAGUGCAGACCACCGCGUGCAGCUGGAUCUGGGGCUGUGGGACAAGUUCAGUGAGCUGGCCACCAAGUGCAUCAUUAAGAUCGUGGAGUUUGCCAAGCGGCUGCCCGGCUUUACAGGGCUCAGCAUUGCUGACCAGAUCACUCUGCUCAAGGCUGCCUGCCUGGACAUCCUGAUGCUGCGGAUCUGCACAAGGUACACCCCGGAGCAGGACACCAUGACCUUCUCUGAUGGGCUGACCCUGAACCGGACCCAGAUGCACAAUGCUGGCUUCGGGCCCCUCACAGACCUCGUCUUUGCCUUUGCUGGGCAGCUCCUGCCACUGGAGAUGGAUGACACAGAGACAGGGCUGCUCAGCGCCAUCUGCCUCAUCUGCGGAGACCGCAUGGACCUGGAGGAACCCGAGAAAGUGGACAAGCUGCAGGAGCCAUUGCUGGAAGCCCUGAGGCUCUAUGCCCGGCGGCGGCGGCCCAGCCAGCCCUACAUGUUCCCGAGGAUGCUCAUGAAGAUUACCGACCUCCGGGGCAUCAGCACCAAGGGAGCGGAAAGGGCCAUUACCCUGAAGAUGGAGAUUCCAGGCCCAAUGCCUCCCCUGAUCCGAGAAAUGCUGGAGAACCCCGAAAUGUUUGAGGACGACUCCUCGCAGCCUGGCCCCCACCCCAAGUCCUCCAGUGAGGACGAGGUUGCCAGGGGCCCGGGCAAAGGGGGCCGCAGCCCCCACCCCGACCAGGGCCCCUGACUUCCCCUGCCGCGGGGUUUGGGGCUCCAGGCAGCAGACUGACCAUCUCCCAGACGCGGCCGGUGCCUGGGGGAGGACCUGCUCUGCCCUCUCCCCGCCCCUUCCAAUGAGCUCCUUGUUUUUGCCAAAGUUUCCAGGGGUGCCUCUGUGUUCAUCCCCUUCCUGCUCUGACCGGCUCCCUCUGCAGACUUGGGGGCCUGCCCUGGUCCCUCCAGGAGAGCGGUCAGGGGGCGAGCCUGGGUUUGGACUCUCAAAUCGCAACACUGCCCCACAGACCCCAGGGUCCCAGGCUCCCCAGGGCAGGAGGGCGACCCUGCCAUUCCACAGCCCCUCCCUCUGCCAGGUGCUUAGGCCUCUGGGAGCAAACAGGAACACUAGACACCAAAAGGGAGCGGGGGCUGGGGGGGGGCUGAGCCCACCCUCUUGCCCUUGGUGCCUAAUGCUGCAUAAGGCACCUGCCAGGUGCAUGCUGCCCGCUAUGCCCCAUCCUCGUGCCAGUCAGGGUGGGGCGGGCCGGGCCCUGCGUGUCUGUGGGGGCGGGGGGUAGGGGUGCAGAGGGUGAAGGGACCGAUGCAGGUCCGUUCUGCACCUCUUUGCUUGGGCCCGGCCUUUACCGUUACAAGCCCCUACCCCAGUCCUGUCAUGUGCCUUGGGCUCCCCCUGCCCCCCAUCUCAGCCAUGGGGCAGGGACCCUCCUACACUACAGAGGGGCCAGGGGAAUCCCUCUCCCCCUAGUGCCUUCCCCCUUGACCCCAGAGCAGCUUGGUCCAGGGAGAGGGGGGUGGGCACUGCUUAGCUGAUCCCGCCCUGACCCAGAGGAAGCCUCUAUUUAUUUAUUAGCUUUUGUUUACACCCUGGAAUUGACCCCUUCCUCCGGGGGUCUUGGGAGGGGGAGCCCAGGGCCCCUGUGACCCCUCCCUUCUCCCUCCAGUCCCCAGUUUGUAUUUAGCUGCCAAAUAAGAGUCCCACUGGCUCCCCUUUUUUCUCUGGGGGGUCAGGGUGCUGUCCCCUCCCCUCUGUUUACAUCUCCCCCCUUCACCGCGCUGUAUCGCAUAUUGCUGAGUUUUCUAUUUUUGCAAAAUAAAGUGAUGGAAACUCA
Sus scrofa (pig) is the source of this 4113-nucleotide long non-coding RNA. RefSeq annotates it as retinoic acid receptor gamma. The record is from RefSeq and is a predicted model, not a curated record. Lineage: Eukaryota; Metazoa; Chordata; Mammalia; Artiodactyla; Suidae.